AUGGAGACCUGCUCUCCAUUUACAUCGGAGACAGCGUGACUUUGCCUUGUUCUUUGGCCUCCAGCAGCAAACAUCUAAGCUGGUACCAGCAGAGAGUCGGGGAGCAGCCUCAGAUCAUCUCCUUCAUGUACAAACAUUCAAACUCCAACAGCUUCUACAAGCCGUUUGACAACAGACGCUUUUCAGUUCACACAGGAGGAGAGCUCUACAGUCUGAGCAUCUCUGAUGUCCAGAACUCAGACUCUGCCAUGUAUUACUGUGGACACACCAGCAUCACCGUCACAGAGUUUGACAGAGGAACCUUUCUGAUGGUUAAAGAUGAACGUCUGGUUCUCAGAUUCCAGUUGCAGGUCCUUGAUCCAGGAGCCAGACUGGGACUCGACUCUGAACUGCACGCUGCUAACUGGAACCAGUGA
This is a non-coding RNA of Oryzias melastigma (Indian medaka), 416 nucleotides long. NCBI's taxonomy places the organism in Eukaryota, Metazoa, Chordata, Actinopteri, Beloniformes, Adrianichthyidae. The record is from the annotation of a RefSeq genome assembly.